This 274-nucleotide unclassified non-coding RNA is filed under the name Hevea brasiliensis (rubber tree). Lineage: Eukaryota; Viridiplantae; Streptophyta; Magnoliopsida; Malpighiales; Euphorbiaceae. The record is from RNAcentral.
AAAGGCAUCGCGAAAUAUUGCCUUGGAGAAGACGAAAACCCCUAAAUCCUCCAUUAAUACGACCUCAAUCCUCUCCCUUUUACACACCAGAGAUCCUGAUUCUGCCUCUUCCACACUCUUCAUUCCCUUUCUUCUUCACCCAAAAUGUUUAGGAAUCAGUACGAUACGGACGUCACGACAUGGAGUCCCGCCGGGAGGUUGUUUCAGGUGGAGUACGCGAUGGAGGCCGUCAAGCAAGGCUCCGCCGCCAUUGGCCUCCGAUCCAAGACCCAUG